Gracilinanus agilis (Agile Gracile Mouse Opossum) is the source of this 615-nucleotide long non-coding RNA. RefSeq lists it as uncharacterized. The record is from RefSeq and is a predicted model, not a curated record. The transcript has 3 exons. NCBI's taxonomy places the organism in Eukaryota, Metazoa, Chordata, Mammalia, Didelphimorphia, Didelphidae.
CCAAUGACAAAUGGGUUAAGGAUAAAAGAAGAGAUCUGGACAGGCAAAGGAAAACCAUCAGGAAAAUCAAGGACUUUAGAGGAAACAACAUCAACACAACCAGGCCCUUCAUCCAAGAUGUCCAGGCCCAUCGAGUCCACAGCAUUGCCAGGAACCACACCAAGCUAAAGCAUGUCUGAAGAUAAUAAUCCAUGAAGUUCACCCCAACUUAGAAACCUUCCAUGGGUCCCUAGUGCUUCAAGGAUGAGCCAGGCAUUUAAAGCCUUCUACAAUCUAGCUCCUAAUUGCCUUUCCGGAUGUUUCAUAUAACUCUCCUUCAAAGUAUCUAGUGAAACUGGCACGCUUAUUCUUUCAUGAACUCAACAUGCCAUCUCCGUGUUUUUCUACAGGUCACCUUCCAUGCAUGAAACAUAUACCUCCCCAUCUGCCUUUUAGUUUCCCUUGCCUCCCUCCAGAGUCAGGUCAUGAGCUUUGCCUUCAAAGCUUAUCCUAAUCCCACCCUGUGUACACACUGUAUCUCUGCACUGUAUAGUAUGUAAGCUCUUUGAAGAUGGGCACUAUUAUGUUUUUGCCUUUGGUAGCCCCAGUGCCCAGCAGUCUGUGCCCACUGUAAAA